This 501-nucleotide ribosomal RNA is filed under the name uncultured bacterium. Its description in RNAcentral is "partial 16S ribosomal RNA". It matches the Rfam family "Bacterial small subunit ribosomal RNA", at positions 29 to 523 of the family's 1533-position model. The record is from RNAcentral.
AUUGAACGCUGGCGGCGUGCCUUACACAUGCAAGUCGAACGGCAGCACGGGUGCUUGCACCUGGUGGCGAGUGGCGAACGGGUGAGUAAUACAUCGGAACGUACCUUAUCGUGGGGGAUAACGCAGCGAAAGCUGUGCUAAUACCGCAUACGCCCUGAGGGGGAAAGCGGGGGAUCGAAAGACCUCGCGCGAUUAGAGCGGCCGAUGCCUGAUUAGCUUGUUGGUGGGGUAAAAGCCCACCAAGGCGACGAUCAGUAGCUGGUCUGAGAGGACGAUAAGCCACACUGGGACUGAGACACGGCCCAGACUCCUACGGGAGGCAGCAGUGGGGAAUUUUGGACAAUGGGGGCAACCCUGAUCCAGCAAUGCCGCGUGAGUGAAGAAGGCCUUCGGGUUGUAAAGCUCUUUUGUCAGGGAAGAAACACCGGCUCUAACACAGUCCGGGAAUGACGGUACCUGAGGAAUAAGCACCGGCUAACUACGUGCCAGCCGCCGCCGUAA